GUAUGUCCGCUAUCCAGAACCUCCACUCUUUCGAUCCCUUUGCUGAUGUAAGUAAGUAAGGGUGAUGGCCUGCUUCCUGCUGGCACUGAGGAUUAUAUCCAUAUAAGAAUUCAACAGAGAAACGGCAGGAAGACCCUGACAACUGUCCAAGGGAUCGCUGAUGAUCGCGAUAAAAAGAAACUAGUGAAGGCGUUUAAAAAGAAAUUUGCGGGCAAUGGUACUGUAAUUGAGUAUCCAGAAUAUGGAGAAGUAAUUCAGCUACAGGAUGACCAGCACAAGAACAUAUGCCAGGUCCUGAUAGAGAUUGGGCUGGCUAAGGACGAUCAGCUGAAGGUUCAUGGGGUUUAA
RNAcentral lists this long non-coding RNA (348 nucleotides) under Mus musculus (house mouse). RNAcentral describes it as "long non-coding RNA chr14:60141062-60141410". The record is from RNAcentral. Lineage: Eukaryota; Metazoa; Chordata; Mammalia; Rodentia; Muridae.